Molecule: transfer RNA, 88 nt
Filed under: Pseudomonas fluorescens
Lineage: Bacteria; Pseudomonadati; Pseudomonadota; Gammaproteobacteria; Pseudomonadales; Pseudomonadaceae
Description: tRNA-Arg
Source: RNAcentral
CGACGCGGUAGCCGGAGGUAGUGAUCACGUCGUCGCUGCGGCCGACGAAGCUGAUGCUGCCGUCCGGGUUCCACUCGACGGUGUCGCC